This 172-nucleotide ribosomal RNA is filed under the name Phragmipedium boissierianum. RNAcentral describes it as "5.8S ribosomal RNA". The record is from RNAcentral. Lineage: Eukaryota; Viridiplantae; Streptophyta; Magnoliopsida; Asparagales; Orchidaceae.
GCCCGAGGCCAUCAGGCUAAGGGCACGCCUGCCUGGGCGUUGCGUGCUGCAUCUCUCCCAUUGCUAAGGUUGAACGGGCAUACUGUUCGGCCGGCGCGGACGAGAGUUUGGCCCCUUGUUCUUCGGUGCGAUGGGUCCAAGACCUGGGCUUUUGACGGUCCAAAAUCCGGCA